UACGUAGGUGGCAAGCGUUAUCCGGAAUUAUUGGGCGUAAAGCGCGCACAGGCGGUUUCUUAAGUCUGAUGUGAAGGCCCACGGCUCAACCGUGGAGGGUCAUUGGAAACUGGGGAACUUGAGUGCAGAAGAGAAAAGCGGAAUUCCACGUGUAGCGGUGAAAUGCGUAGAGAUGUGGAGGAACACCAGUGGCGAAGGCGGCUUUUUGGUCUGUAACUGACGCUGAGGCGCGAAAGCGUGGGGAGCAAACAGG
RNAcentral lists this ribosomal RNA (253 nucleotides) under uncultured bacterium. RNAcentral's name for it is "partial 16S ribosomal RNA". It matches the Rfam family "Bacterial small subunit ribosomal RNA", at positions 524 to 776 of the family's 1533-position model. The record is from RNAcentral.